UACGUAGGGGGCUAGCGUUGUCCGGAAUCAUUGGGCGUAAAGAGCGUGUAGGCGGCUAGUCAAGUCCGGUGUGAAAUCCUGGAGCUCAACUCCAGAACUGCCUUUGAUACUGGCGAUCUCGAGUCCGGGAGAGGUGAGUGGAACUGCGAGUGUAGAGGUGAAAUUCGUAGAUAUUCGCAAGAACACCAGUGGCGAAGGCGGCUCACUGGCCCGGUACUGACGCUGAGGUGCGAAAGCGUGGGGAGCAAACAGG
This 253-nucleotide ribosomal RNA is filed under the name uncultured bacterium. RNAcentral describes it as "partial 16S ribosomal RNA". It matches the Rfam family "Bacterial small subunit ribosomal RNA", at positions 524 to 776 of the family's 1533-position model. The record is from RNAcentral.